RNAcentral lists this transfer RNA (74 nucleotides) under Ictidomys tridecemlineatus (thirteen-lined ground squirrel). Its description in RNAcentral is "Spermophilus tridecemlineatus (thirteen-lined ground squirrel) tRNA". It matches the Rfam family "tRNA". From Rfam's summary of the family: Transfer RNA (tRNA) molecules are approximately 80 nucleotides in length. Their secondary structure includes four short double-helical elements and three loops (D, anti-codon, and T loops). Lineage: Eukaryota; Metazoa; Chordata; Mammalia; Rodentia; Sciuridae. The record is from Rfam by way of RNAcentral.
AGGGAUAUAGCUCAGUUGGUAGAGUGCUUGCCUUCCAUUCAUAAGGCCCUGGGUUCUAUCUCCCAGCAUCACAC